Molecule: ribosomal RNA, 500 nt
Filed under: uncultured bacterium
Lineage: Bacteria
Description: partial 16S ribosomal RNA
Rfam family: Bacterial small subunit ribosomal RNA
Source: RNAcentral
AUUGAACGCUGGCGGCAUGCCUUACACAUGCAAGUCGAACGGCAGCACGGGAGCAAUCCUGGUGGCGAGUGGCGAACGGGUGAGUAAUAUAUCGGAACGUGCCCAGUCGUGGGGGAUAACGUAGCGAAAGCUACGCUAAUACCGCAUACGAUCUAUGGAUGAAAGCGGGGGAUCGCAAGACCUCGCGCGAUUGGAGCGGCCGAUAUCAGAUUAGGUAGUUGGUGGGGUAAAGGCUAACCAAGCCGACGAUCUGUAGCUGGUCUGAGAGGACGACCAGCCACACUGGGACGGAGACACGGGCCAGACACCUACGGGAGGCAGCAGUGGGGAAUUUUGGACAAUGGGCGCAAGCCUGAGCCAGCAAUGCCGCGUGCAGGAUGAAGGCCUUCGGGUUGUAAACUGCUUUUGUACGGAGCGAAAAGGCUCUCUCUAAUACAGGGGGCUCAUGACGGUACCGUAAGAAUAAGCACCGGCUAACUACGUGCCAGCCGCCGCGGUAA